Molecule: long non-coding RNA, 700 nt
Organism: Pezoporus flaviventris
Lineage: Eukaryota; Metazoa; Chordata; Aves; Psittaciformes; Psittacidae
Exons: 2
Source: RefSeq, a predicted model, not a curated record
GCAUGCGUGAUGCUUGUGGCGAGGGGUUUGUGUGAGGCGGGUUCUCCUUUCCCCUCUGCUUUUACUUUUAAUUAUAAAUUAUGUGGGGCUAGAAUUAGAGCUCAGCAGAAAAUCGCAAUAAAAGGAGCAAGAAACGCGAAGAAAAGGGCAACCCCCCUCAAACAUCCAACACAAAAUGCACCGUAACAGCACUGACGGGUGGUGGUCCUGCUGAGGAGAAGCGGAUGCAUCGGCCUCAAACACACUCAAGGCCGAGCAGUCACUGGAUCUCGAAAUCACCAAGAACUUGUCACAAACUUCAGCAGAGAAAUUCAUGUUUUCAGGAAACUGGGGAGCUGCCAAGAAGUGACAGUCAAUAAAUGACACGACAAACCUGAAAAAGAGGAAGCAGUUGCUACAUGUGGGGAAAUACCGUAGCAAUGCUACACCACUUUCUAACUGAAGUAUUUUCAGUCCCAGUUUCUCUUUAAUCCUCCUUCCAGACAGUGCUAAAAGCCCAGUCUACAAGGAAUUAAGGAAACAAUACACAGGUUUUUGCAGUUAAUGAUAUCCUGGAGACUCAAAUGGCUUUCACGUGCUGAAAGUGAUACUCAAACCAUAAAGGGACAACACAACAUGAGGAAGGAAUAUAGCAGUAAGUUUUACAGAUUCAAAGCACUCAUCUUAAGAGCUGCAGUAAAACAACAUGUUCCAGCAAAGA